GCGGCCGCCAUGCUGCCCGCGCGCCCCCGACGCUUCCGCCCUCCCGGCAGCGCCGGCCCCGCCCGCCUGGGGUCGCGUGGCCGCGCGCACGUCCGAGCCCGCCCCGGGGCCGCGGGUUCGAGCCCCGGCCCCGGCCCCGGCCGCGUGGGUGCCUGAAGCGGGGCGCGGGCGGCGUGAGGGGGGUUUGGCCGCUGCCCCAGCCUUCCUUCUCCUCCGCGGUCCCCUGCAGCCGGCUGUCCAGACCGCUCCCGAAUACCUGCAAGGAUGGAGACUCCAUAACCUCUCUGGUCGCCCCGUGCCAGUGCUCCAACACCCUCUCGGUUGAGCUACAGAAAAAAACCCAGCCAAGUCUGAUUUUAUAAAGCUGCCAUCGCUGAAAUGUUCCUGCACUCAGUUAUUCAAACAGCAGCUCAAGAGGCAGGCUUGAUUGUUCCUGACCUAGGAGAAGCCCCUGAGAAAUCUCACCGUUCAUAGCCUGCAGCUAAACGGGCAUCUGCAAGCAGCCAGGGUGGGGAGCCAGGAGCAUGGCACACACUGUCUGACUAACCAGAUGGAAAAUUCCACUCCUCUUCAUCAUGGCAGACCACGCUGAAGCACUUGGGAAGCAAACCAGCAGUGUGUUUAUCUGCUUGCCAGGCUGCUGCUUUUCUUUGCUGCCAUGAACUGUGCCCAUUUGCCAGGACACCUACUCUAUCUGCUCAGCCCUCUUUUAGCACUGUGAUAAGAAGUACCUCUGGAACAACAUCCUGCCUACUUGGCUCUGCUUUGUAAUAUUUUUUUUUUUAGCACUGCUGACACUCAAUGCAGAGCAACAUGAAGGGCAAAGCUCCAGCAUGGUGACCAGCAGAACUGACCUCUCCUUCAGCUCUGGCCAUGCUGAGCACAAGAAACCCCUGCUGUUUGCAUUCCUUGCACCUCUGGAGUGAUCGGCUCUGGACAACCUCUGCUCACCCCAGGUUAACUCAAAACCUGUUACCUUGGGCAAAAAACUUACAGUUUCUUCUUACUUAAAGACAUGAAUGAUAAAGUAACCCUGAGGAAUGCCAGCCUUUCAACAGUGCAGGAAUCCUGGCUGAGGGGCUGAAAGCUCUCGUGUGCUCCCAGCACAAACCGCUCUCUCCGACUUGAGCAUAUUUCCCCCUCUUCCUGGUGCUUUCCCAUGCACACACACGCUCUUACCUCCCAAAUCUUCAGCUGUGCUCAUGGCAGGUUUGUUUAGUUCCCUGUGAGGAGAUGAGAAGAGCAUGCGAGUGUCUGAGCAGAAAGCCUUGUGCUACAAUGUCACUCAGGUCACCAGCACACAGCCAGUGCUGACCAAUGAGACUAAAUCCCAUGGGAAUUACACAGCUGUAAAUCCUGGAAACUAUGCUUCCCACUUUGAAUGUACCAUUGCUGAUUCCCUUGCAAUACUAUGCAGUGAAAUGAUACAGAAACAGCAAAUAAAGAAAUAAAACAUUAUUCAGACUCUCCCCUCUAACACUUCUACACCAUGGAGUGUCUCACUUGUUAAUGGCCACAAGGCACCCACUGCCUCUGAUCACGGCAAGGACAAGGAAAUGCAGAGCAAGUGGCUCCACAACGAUCCUGGGGCUGAAUGUCCACCUUGUAGCAGCAACAUGCUUUGGCACUGACAACAAGGCGAGGGAGCCGCAGGAGAGAAGUGUUCUCUGAAGGAUUUUACUUGGGUACUCAGUAACAAAGUUAUUUAGUAAGGCUUCAAUUCCAUGAUAUGCUCCCUUGAGCAAGUUUUUGUAUGCAUAUAUGUUUCGUCCACAGGUUUAAAACCUUGUUUCAAAAAAACCCCAUUCGAUGGGGGAGGUCUGUUAGCACUGCCCAGUUCAGAUAAUUUAAAAUGUGGUGUCAGAAGAGAGACUGAAGUUGAAAGAGGUGGUGCUUGCUCAGUAACUAUCCAGGCAUCUAGCACAAAAAAAUUCGAGUUCUGGUUAAGAUGAGUAUAUUGCAUAGCUGUUGUAGAAAAUGUAAAAUACAGAUGGAGUGUAGUGACACAGCCACUAUCCUGUCUUAAUUUACAUGCAGCCCAAGAGCAAAGCUGCUUCUCGAAGGUCAGAAGUGUGUGAACGUCUGUUCACAAAACCUGGAUUCACAUAAAACCUGUAAGGUCAAAUUACAUUAGUGAUACCCCAUACCCUCGCCCCCUAUUCCUGUGACAGUGGGAAAUGGCACGAAGCCUCUGAAAACCAGAAAUAAGAAAGUGUAUUUCCUGGUCUUUUCAAGUCCCUCAACAUCUUUAAUGCUUCCCGGGAUCAGGAGUCCUGCCCACAUUUGGGAUCUCCUGUAUGACUAACAAAGUCGUCAUGCAAAAUCGAGCAGCAUUAUUACCUUUGGAGGGUGCUCACCAUACCUUCACACCGUAGACCUUGAGCAAAGCCUGCAGAGGGCACGGGGGGGGGGGCAGGG
Pseudopipra pipra is the source of this 2418-nucleotide long non-coding RNA. RefSeq lists it as uncharacterized. NCBI's taxonomy places the organism in Eukaryota, Metazoa, Chordata, Aves, Passeriformes, Pipridae. The transcript is spliced from 3 exons. The record is from RefSeq and is a predicted model, not a curated record.